CCGGGUCGUCUGUAUAGCUGGUCGCUAGGAUGCCAGAUGAUUCCCGAAUCGGCGCUGGGUGUGAGAUUCUAUGGUGCUGCGCUGGCAUGCAUGGCCGUCCUGUUAUGGCAAGUGAUCGGAUCCGUGGACAAAGCACUACUUCGACUAGCUCUUCUCGUUUCUAGUGUUCAUUAUGGGGCGUGUGGUACAAGCGGAAAGUUUUAGUGAUGCUGCUGCACAUCAAUGGAUGCUGCUAGC
Molecule: long non-coding RNA, 237 nt
Organism: Priapulus caudatus
Lineage: Eukaryota; Metazoa; Priapulida; Priapulimorpha; Priapulimorphida; Priapulidae
Exons: 3
Source: RefSeq, a predicted model, not a curated record